This 356-nucleotide long non-coding RNA is filed under the name Capsicum annuum. RNAcentral describes it as "long non-coding RNA (CANN_LNC002079)". The record is from RNAcentral. Lineage: Eukaryota; Viridiplantae; Streptophyta; Magnoliopsida; Solanales; Solanaceae.
AACCCAUCAAAGUAUGUAUAUGAAAUAUGUCGCAUUAUAUUACGAAGUAAUAUACUCGUGUACGUAUGUGAUGUAUAUAGUACAUGUUGACAUCCAAUUUUGACCUUCCGAUGCUCUCUUAGGCUACUAUUUUUGUCAAAAUUAUUUAACCUUUAAUAUUAAUAUUUUUGCGCAUUAUUUUGGUAUCAAAUAAUUUUCGAGAAGACACAUUCAUGAUUUAAAAAAUGUACAAAUUAUUUUAUUAUUUUUUAGUAUCAUUUUUUACAGUUUAUUAAUUCAAAUACGACAUUUUACAUAAUUUUAUUGAUAUUUAUUAAAUUAUUUUUUCACAUAAAUGUGCACACUCACAAUUCACA